CGAGACGUGGCUCAGUUUGGUAGAGCGCUGCGUUCGGGACGCAGAGGUCGUGGGUUCGAAUCCCGUCGUCUCGACCA
The sequence is a transfer RNA, 77 nucleotides long. It matches the Rfam family "tRNA". Rfam says of the family: Transfer RNA (tRNA) molecules are approximately 80 nucleotides in length. Their secondary structure includes four short double-helical elements and three loops (D, anti-codon, and T loops).